UUACGCUCUUCCAACUGAUGCAAGAACUCUUGUGCAUACACCAUCCAAAAUAAUUAUUUCGGAUGACGAUGAUAUAGGUGGAAAGUAUUGGCAUUAUGGUUUGCAACCGGCACUUAUAAAUGUGCUGUCAACCAGCAAUGAAAGCAAUAUAAAAAAUAUUUCUCUAAACGUAAACAUCGAUGGACUACCAACUUUCAAAAGUUCAACAUCGUUCUGGCCAAUCUUGGUGAACAUUCACGAAUUAAGGAAUAUACCCCCUCAAUUUGUGAGAAUCUUUUGUGGGACUUAUAAACCAAAAAAUGUCAAUGCAUUUCUACGGCCAUUUGUUGAAGAAUUAAAUCUUGUUUUACAAAAAGGAAUUCGGAUAGAUACUAACAUUGUAAAGAUUUCUUUAAGAUGUUUUAUUUGCGACACACCUGCUCGAGCUAUGCUGAGAGGUGUGAUUGGACAUAACGGCUAUGGAUCAUGCUUAAAAUGCGCCACUGAAGGAGAAUAUUCUCACGCUUUCGGGAAAAUGAUAUUUCCGCAGUUAGAUGCUCCCCUACGGAGCGAUCAAGAAUUUCGACUUAAAAUAGACGAAGGACAUCAUAAAUUUACUAGUAUUCUAGAA
Molecule: long non-coding RNA, 610 nt
Organism: Topomyia yanbarensis
Lineage: Eukaryota; Metazoa; Arthropoda; Insecta; Diptera; Culicidae
Exons: 3
Source: RefSeq, a predicted model, not a curated record